GAUGAACGCUGGCGGCGUGCCUAAUACAUGCAAGUCGAGCGAACAGACGAAAAGCUUGCUCCUCUGACGUUAGCGGAGGACGGGUGAGUAACACGUGGAUAACCUACCUAUAAGACUGGGAUAACUUCGGGAAACCGGCGCUAAUACCGGAUAAUAUAUUGAACCGCAUGGUUCAAGAGUGAAAGACGGUUUUGCUGUCACUUAUAGAUGGAUCCGCGCCGCAUUAGCUAGUUGGUAAGGUAACGGCUUAACAAGGGAACGAGGCGUAGCAGACCUGAGAGGGUGAGCGGCCACACGGGAACGUAGACACGGUCCAGACUCCUGCGGGAGGCAGCAGUAGGGAGUCUUGCGCAAUGGGCGAAUACCGGACGGAGCAACGCCGCGUGAGGGAUGAAGGUCUUCGGAUCGUAAAACUCUGUUAUUAGGGAAGAACAAAUGGGUAAGUAACUAUGCACGUUUUGACGGUACCUAAUCAGAAAGCCACGGCUAACUACGUG
This 497-nucleotide ribosomal RNA is filed under the name uncultured bacterium. RNAcentral's name for it is "partial 16S ribosomal RNA". It matches the Rfam family "Bacterial small subunit ribosomal RNA", at positions 28 to 507 of the family's 1533-position model. The record is from RNAcentral.